CUACGGGGGGCAGCAGUGGGGAAUAUUGGACAAUGGGGGAAACCCUGAUCCAGCAAUGCCGCGUGUGUGAAGAAGGCCUGCGGGUUGUAAAGCACUUUCGGUUGGGAGGACUGCUUCUAGCACUAAUAUUGUUGGAAGUUGACGUUACCUUCAGAAGAAGCACCGGCUAACUCCGUGCCAGCAGUCGCGGUAAUACGGAGGGUGCAAGCGUUAAUCGGAAUUACUGGGCGUAAAGCGCGCGUAGGCGGCUAGAUCAGUCGGGUGUGAAAGCCCCGGGCUUAACCUGGGAACUGCAUCCGAUACUGGCUAGCUUCAGUACAGGAGAGGAGAGUGGAAUUCCACAUGUAGCGGUGAAAUGCGUAGAUAUGUGGAGGAACACCAAUGGCGAAGGCAGCUCUCUGGCCUGAUACUGACGCUGAGGUGCGAAAGCGUGGGGAGCAAACAGGAUUAGAUACCCGCGGUAGUC
Molecule: ribosomal RNA, 466 nt
Filed under: uncultured bacterium
Lineage: Bacteria
Description: partial 16S ribosomal RNA
Rfam family: Bacterial small subunit ribosomal RNA
Source: RNAcentral